CCUACGGGGGGCUGCAGUGGGGAAUAUUGGACAAUGGGCGAAAGCCUGAUCCAGCCAUGCCGCGUGUGUGAAGAAGGCCUUCGGGUUGUAAAGCACUUUCAGUGGGGAAGAAAGCCUUGGGGCUAAUACCCUCGAGGAAGGACAUCACCCACAGAAGAAGCACCGGCUAACUCCGUGCCAGCAGCCGCGGUAAUACGGAGGGUGCGAGCGUUAAUCGGAAUUACUGGGCGUAAAGCGCGCGUAGGCGGUCUGAUAAGCCGGUUGUGAAAGCCCCGGGCUCAACCUGGGAACGGCAUCCGGAACUGUCAGGCUAGAGUGCAGGAGAGGAAGGUAGAAUUCCCGGUGUAGCGGUGAAAUGCGUAGAGAUCGGGAGGAAUACCAGUGGCGAAGGCGGCCUUCUGGACUGACACUGACGCUGAGGUGCGAAAGCGUGGGUAGCAAACAGGAUUAGAUACCCGAGUACUC
Molecule: ribosomal RNA, 465 nt
Filed under: Vreelandella stevensii
Lineage: Bacteria; Pseudomonadati; Pseudomonadota; Gammaproteobacteria; Oceanospirillales; Halomonadaceae
Description: partial 16S ribosomal RNA
Rfam family: Bacterial small subunit ribosomal RNA
Source: RNAcentral